This is a long non-coding RNA of Dermacentor albipictus, 664 nucleotides long. RefSeq lists it as uncharacterized. The record is from RefSeq and is a predicted model, not a curated record. NCBI's taxonomy places the organism in Eukaryota, Metazoa, Arthropoda, Arachnida, Ixodida, Ixodidae.
CGUGGCGUAUACGCGCAAAACUAAAUAAACGCCGCCUUAUUCGACCGCAUGCAAAGAAAAAUAUAUAUAAAAUAAAUAAAUUUAAAAGCAAUGCAGAUACGGUGUUGAGUUAGAAGCGCAUGCGCCCCCGAGCCCAUAUAAGCGGACAACGCGAGCCGCAGCAUGCGCAUUCAGAUCAGCCACCGCAAAGCGCCCGCACGGAGAGCUGGAACGAUGGGAUCCGUGGUCCGCCUGCUACUUACAGCUGUCACCAUGUCGAUGGUAUUGAGAGCUGCUGCUUUUCCAGGCCUGUGCAUUCCGGUGGACUACUGCGACGGCAACUGCGUUGCCGGCUACGACACUGCGGGAUGCGAAGUUUGCGUCUGUCCACCUUGUCUGCCUUGCCCAACGGACUGCUACGAUGCGGCGCCGGGUUGCCCCGUGUGCGCGCCGAUACAAGACUGCUUUCAGUGGCCCCUGUCCGUAUUCUUCUGAAAGCUCCAUCUUCUAUACAUAACGCCGUAAUGCAGACUAUAUUCUUUGUAAUGACCGCCCCUUCUACAGGCGAUCGUUGGCGUUUUAGCAUGUGACAUACGUAUAUAAAGUUAGCGACUGAGCCUGGUUAUACCUGACUUACGCACUCGCCUUGCGCAGUUACCGGGAAUAAAAACUUUACUCCACCGUU